CACAUCUAAGGAAGGCAGCAGGCGCGCAAAUUACCCAAUCCUGACACAGGGAGGUAGUGACAAGAAAUAACAAAGCAAGCCUCUUCGAGGCGCUGCGUUGGAAUGAGUAGAAUUUAAAUCUCUGUACGACCAUCAAUUGGAGGGCAAGUCUGGUGCCAGCAGCCGCGGUAAUUCCAGCUCCAAUAGCGUAUAUUAAAGUUGUUGCGGUUAAAAAGCUCGUAGUUGGAUUUCUGUGGGGACGGAGCGGCCGGCCGCACAUCGCGGUUCGAGCUAGCGCUUUCCCUACAUCCUGCCGCGAACCGUGCUACCAUUAAUUUGGUGGCGCCGGGGAUCGGCUCGAUUACUUUGAGAAAAAUAGAGUGUUCAAAGCAGGCCACAUGCCUUGAAUAAGUUAGCAUGGAAUAAUAACUAAGGACUUCGGUUCUAUUUUGUUGGUGUUCGGGACUGAAGUAAUGAUUGAUAGGGACAGUUGGGGCGGUCUGUAUUCCAAAGCGAGAGGUGAAAUUCUUAGACCUUCGGAAGACAAACAGCUGCGAAAGCGUUCCGCAAGGAUGUUCCCUUUGAUCAAGAACGAAAGUUGGGGGAUCGAAGACGAUCAGAUACCGUCGUAGUCUCAACUAUAAACUAUACCAGCUAGGGAUCGGCCAACGUUAUUCUAUACCGACUUGGUCGGCACCUUAUGAGAAAUCAAAGCAUCUGGGUUCCGGGGGGAGUAUGGUCGCAAGGCUGAAACUUAAAGGAAUUGACGGAAGGGCACCACCAGCCGUGGAGCCUGUGGCUUAAUUUGACUCAACACGGGAAAACUUACCAGGUCCAGACAUAGUAAGGAUUGACAGAUUGAUAGCUCUUUCUUGAUUCUGUGGGUGGUGGUGCAUGGCCGUUCUUAGUUGGUGGAGUGAUUUGUCUGGUUAAUUCCGUUAACGAACGAGACCCCAGCCUGCUAAAUAGCGCGCGUGAGCUUUGCUCGCAGCGAGCUUCUUAGAGGGACUAUGAUGCGCGAUAGCACAUGGAAGUUUGGGGCAAUAACAGGUCUGGGCCGCACACGGGCUACACUGGCGCCUGCAACGAGCAUAUCAGCUGGCCCGAGAGGGUCUUGGCUAAUCUUUUGAACCGGCGCCGUGCUUGGGAUUGACCUUUGCAAUUGUUGGUCAUGCAACGAGGAAUGCCUUGUAAACGCGAGUCAUCAGCUCGCAUUGAAUACGUCCCUGCCCUUUGUACACACCGCCCGUCGCUCCUACCGAUGAAUGUUCCGAUGAAAUUUUCGGAGAGCACCUGUGAACUUGGCUCUGCCUUGCGAACGGGAGGCUCAAAGUCACUUAAAUCUGAACAUUUCGAGG
RNAcentral lists this ribosomal RNA (1337 nucleotides) under uncultured marine eukaryote. RNAcentral's name for it is "SSU rRNA". It matches the Rfam family "Eukaryotic small subunit ribosomal RNA", at positions 411 to 1779 of the family's 1831-position model. The record is from RNAcentral.